UACAGAGGAUGCAAGCGUUGUUCGGAAUCACUGGGCUUAAAGCGCGUGUAGGCGGCCGAGUAAGUGUACUGUGAAAUCCGGUGGCUCAACCACCGAACUGCAGGACAUACUGCUUGGCUUGAGGUCGGUAGAGGUGCCUGGAACUCUUGGUGGAGCGGUGAAAUGCGUAGAUAUCAAGAGGAACGCCUGUGGCGAAAGCGGGGCACUGGGCCGAAUCUGACGCUGAGACGCGAAAGCGUGGGGAGCAAACAGG
This 253-nucleotide ribosomal RNA is filed under the name uncultured bacterium. Its description in RNAcentral is "partial 16S ribosomal RNA". It matches the Rfam family "Bacterial small subunit ribosomal RNA", at positions 524 to 776 of the family's 1533-position model. The record is from RNAcentral.